Molecule: ribosomal RNA, 445 nt
Filed under: uncultured bacterium
Lineage: Bacteria
Description: partial 16S ribosomal RNA
Rfam family: Bacterial small subunit ribosomal RNA
Source: RNAcentral
GUGAGGAAUAUUGGUCAAUGGGCGAGAGCCUGAACCAGCCAAGUCGCGUGAAGGAUGAAGGUUUUAUGAAUUGUAAACUUCUUUUGCAGGGGAAUAAAGUACGGUACGUGUACCGUUUUGUAUGUGCUCUGCGAAUAAGGAUCGGCUAACUCCGUGCCAGCAGCCGCGGUAAUACGGAGGAUCCAAGCGUUAUCCGGAUUUAUUGGGUUUAAAGGGUGCGCAGGCGGGUUGAUAAGUCAGCGGUGAAAGUUUGCAGCUUAACUGUAAAAUUGCCGUUGAAACUGUCGAUCUUGAGUGCAAAUGAGGUAAGCGGAAUGUGUUGUGUAGCGGUGAAAUGCUUAGAUAUAACACAGAACACCGAUUGCGAAGGCAGCUUACUGGGAUGCAACUGACGCUCAUGCACGAAAGCGUGGGGAUCAAACAGGAUUAGAAACCCCUGUAGUCC